UACAGAGGUCCCAAGCGUUGUUCGGAUUCACUGGGCGUAAAGGGUGCGUAGGCGGUUGGGUAAGUCUGACGUGAAAUCUUCAAGCUCAACUUGGAAACUGCGUCGGAUACUAUUCGGCUAGAGGAAUGGAGGGGAGACUGGAAUACUUGGUGUAGCAGUGAAAUGCGUAGAGAUCAUGAGGAAAACCAGUGGCGAAGGCGGGUCUCUGGACAGUUCCUGACACUGAGACACGAAGGCCAGGGGAGCAAACGGG
RNAcentral lists this ribosomal RNA (253 nucleotides) under uncultured bacterium. RNAcentral describes it as "partial 16S ribosomal RNA". It matches the Rfam family "Bacterial small subunit ribosomal RNA", at positions 524 to 776 of the family's 1533-position model. The record is from RNAcentral.